AGAAUCACCAUACAGAGCUACUCUCAGCCAUGGAAUCCCAAACAAACAUUGAUAAUGCUGAAAUGCACUUCAAGCCAAACUUAAGAAAUUUCUUUCAAAAUGCUAACUUCCACCAUAUGCGCCAAAACGCUCCCGGGUUAUCCAAAGCCCAAACCAGGCAUACGCCAAAUAAGAAAUCAUCAUACAAACCUGCUGGAAUCUUUAGAUUUUGAUUCCAAGGUCUUUUACUUAAAAAUCCAAUCUUAGUUCAUUCUUUCUACUUUAAGAUUCCAAAAUGAGAAUUCUCUUCCCAAAUCAACUCCAAACUUUCAAAAAUUCAAUUCCAGCCAUGCGUACAAGUCAUAACACCUGAAAUGAAGCUGCUCAUAGUCUUAGACUGCUAAACAGCGCACUAGGGCUUAAACAACCAGUUGGGUCAUUACAAACUAAGUACACACGCACACUCUCUCUCAAACUCUCUCUUCUUUCUCUGUUACAUGUG
This 481-nucleotide long non-coding RNA is filed under the name Nicotiana benthamiana. Its description in RNAcentral is "long non-coding RNA (NBEN_LNC030927)". Lineage: Eukaryota; Viridiplantae; Streptophyta; Magnoliopsida; Solanales; Solanaceae. The record is from RNAcentral.